UGGGGAAUCUUGGACAAUGGGCGCAAGCCUGAUCCAGCCAUGCCGCGUGAGUGAUGAAGGCCCUAGGGUUGUAAAACUCUUUCGUGGGGGACGAUAAUGACGGUACCCCAAGAAGAAGCUCCGGCUAACUUCGUGCCAGCAGCCGCGGUAAUACGAAGGGGGCUAGCGUUGUUCGGAUUUACUGGGCGUAAAGCGCGUGUAGGCGGACUGGAAAGUUGGGGGUGAAAUCCCGAGGCUCAACCUCGGAACUGCCUCCAAAACUGGCGACCUGGACCUAAGUAGAGGCAAGUGGAAUUGCGAGUGUAGAGGUGAAAUUCGUAGAUAUUCGCAGGAACACCAGUGGCGAAGGCGACUUGCUGGACUUAUGGUGACGCUGAGACGCGAAAGCGUGGGGAGCAAACAGGAUUAGAUACCCGAGUAGUCCCUGAGCGGGCUGGCAAGGCGCAU
This 447-nucleotide ribosomal RNA is filed under the name uncultured bacterium. RNAcentral describes it as "bacterial SSU rRNA". It matches the Rfam family "Bacterial small subunit ribosomal RNA", at positions 355 to 825 of the family's 1533-position model. The record is from RNAcentral.